Molecule: ribosomal RNA, 253 nt
Filed under: uncultured bacterium
Lineage: Bacteria
Description: partial 16S ribosomal RNA
Rfam family: Bacterial small subunit ribosomal RNA
Source: RNAcentral
UACGUAGGGCGCAAGCGUUGUCCGGAAUUAUUGGGCGUAAAGAGCUCGUAGGCGGUCUGUCGCGUCGGCUGUGAAAACCCGAGGCUCAACCUCGGGCCUGCAGUCGAUACGGGCAGACUAGAGUGCUGUAGGGGAGACUGGAAUUCCUGGUGUAGCGGUGAAAUGCGCAGAUAUCAGGAGGAACACCGAUGGCGAAGGCAGCUCGCUGGGACGUGACUGACGCUGAGACGCGAAAGCGUGGGGAGCAAACAGG